GGGGUGGAGCAGUCUGGCAGCUCGUCGGGCUCAUAACCCGAAGGUCGUAGGUUCAAAUCC
Molecule: transfer RNA, 60 nt
Filed under: Achromobacter sp. RW408
Lineage: Bacteria; Pseudomonadati; Pseudomonadota; Betaproteobacteria; Burkholderiales; Alcaligenaceae
Description: tRNA-Met
Rfam family: tRNA
About the family: Transfer RNA (tRNA) molecules are approximately 80 nucleotides in length. Their secondary structure includes four short double-helical elements and three loops (D, anti-codon, and T loops).
Source: RNAcentral